Molecule: long non-coding RNA, 3476 nt
Organism: Piliocolobus tephrosceles (Ugandan red Colobus)
Lineage: Eukaryota; Metazoa; Chordata; Mammalia; Primates; Cercopithecidae
Exons: 3
Source: RefSeq, a predicted model, not a curated record
UUUACUGUAUCCCGGAAGUUUUGGUGUGUUGUGUUUCCAUUAUCCUUUGCUUCAAGACAUUUUUCAGUUUUCUUCUUAAUGUCUUCAUUGAUCCACCAGUGAUUCAGGAGCAUGUUGUUUAAUUUCCAUGUGUUUGUAUGGUUUCCAGAAUUGCUCUUGUUACUGAUUUCUAGUUUUAUUCCAUUUUGGCCAGGGAAAAUGCUUGAAAUUUCAAUUUUUGUGAAUGUUUUAAGAUUUGUUUUGUGACAAACAUAUAGAUCCUUGAGAAUGAUCCUCGAGAAUGAUCCAUGUGCUGAGGAGAAAAAUGUGUAUUCUGCAUCCAUUGGACGGAAUACUCUUGUCACACCAAGGAGGAUUGUCCAUCCAGUAAUGGGCCUGCCCUUCACCAACAGGUGCACAGAAGAGAGAGUCAGAAGAGGAGAAGGUGAUGUGAAGAAGGAGGCAGAGAUUGGAACAAUGGGGCUACAAGCCAAGGUAUGCUGACGAAUGACCUACAGCUGCCAGAGCUGGAGGACUCAAGGAAUGGAUUUGCUCCUAGAGCCUUCAGAGGGAAUGUGGCCCUGUAUAUUGAUUUUGGAGUUUGGGCCUCCAGAACUGUGAAAGAAUAAUUUUCUGUUGUUUUAAGUUGCCAGCUUUGAGGGCAUUUGUUGUGGCAGCUACAGGAAGUUAAAAUGUGGAUGGUCAACUUCAAUAUCAACAGUGGUACAUCAAAUUGAUAUUAUAUACUCUUGAUAAGGUAUUUGGAGAACAGCACUUCACCUCAUCUAAGCAUCCAUAACCAUAGUCUAACUAACCAUGAUCUAAACCUUAACUAAAUUCAACUUGAGGGACAUUUUACAAUACAUCUGGUCAGUACUCCCCAAAAUUGUGAAGGGCAUCAAAAAUUAGGAAAAAUCUCAGGAACUAUCACAGACCAGAGGAGGCCAAGGAGGCAUGAAGGAGACUAAAUGUAAUGUGAUAUUCUCAAUGGAAUCCUGGAACACAGAAAGGACAUUAGGGGAACGCUAAUGAACUCCAAAUAAAGUCUGUAGUUUAUUAUUUAGUAAUAAUAAGGUACGAAAAUGGCUUCAUUAGCUGUGACAAAUGGACCAUAAUAAUGCGAGAUGUUCACACCAGGGGAAACUGACUAUGGAGCGGAUGGCAACUCUGUACUACCUUUGCAACUUUUAUGUAAAUUUAAAACUCUUCUAAAAUAAAAUUAUUUAAAAGUAGCACUCAGGAAAGGAUUAAGGAGUGGAAGAAAAAAAUGAUCAACUUUCCAUUUUCCUGGAGUGUUGCCAUGAAAAGGCUGGAGAGAGGGUUUGCAAGGAGGAAUUGGAAACCUCAGAGGCAGCUCCAGAGCCCUCCUCUGUUCCGCAGAACCGGAACCCCGCGCAGUCCAGGGCUUCGAAAGCCUUUCCACCCCCUUGGACAACCCCAGCCCCACCUCAUUGAUACAUCCUUUCUGGGUCAACAAUCUCUGUCUUAGACCACCGCCCCGUCCUCUCCAGAGGGGCUCAUCAGAACCCAAGCGCAUAGCGGCAGCGCCCCCGUGUGGCCGAAGGACUGAGGACAGACACUCAGCUCCCCUUUCCCUUCCCCACCUGGGACCUCCCUAGGGUCCCCUUCGGAUCUCGGUCGCAGAACAGGGCUCUGUGCUCAUGGGGGCGACCCUGUCCCGCGACAGAUGCUUUUUCCCAGUUAGUGGCGGUGGACUCUGACCUCAAGGCAGAGGGAGGUCCACAGGCCCUAAGACCUGGUUCCCAAGUCCGGGUGCACCCCGCAGACAUACUGUGCUCCCAGUACGCAGCCUCUCAGUGGUUUUGGAAUGAGGCCUUGGACUCUCAGUGUUUUUGGACUCUCAGUGUUUUUGGAACGAGGUCUUGGAGUCCCUGAAAUUUGUUCUGCUGCUUCCAGAGAGGAAGAUCCCUUCUCCCCGGAAUCCACUAGUUAAGUCUCCAGCCCUAGUACGGAGGGAACCGGGAAGGACAUGGCAUCGGAGUUGGAGACUAUAUUGGGUUACAAGGAUGUCUAGGAUCAAACUGGGCUGAGCAUUUGUCCCCAGUCCAUCGGAAACCCGAGGGCGGUUCCUCCGCCACUCCCCGGACCUCCAGGACCCAGGCAUCUGAACCUACACCCUAUUGGAUCUUAGAGGGCGGCCCCUCCCCAGCCUUGAGAGUCCAGGAUUCUGGCCCCACCCGAACACUGAGAGCCCAGGACCCUGGCAUCCGACCUCUUCUUCCCAUUUGUGACCUAAGCAGACAGGACCUGCUGUCUUAUUUCCCUGAAUCCUGGCCCUCUGCCAUCUCCAAUCCCUGAUUAAAGGUCCUUGAUUCUGGACUCAAAUCUAAUUUCUGGUCCCGUCGAUUGUCCGUGACGGUCGCCCACCAGGAAAGGCUCCCCAGCGCGAAACAUGCUGCAGCUGAGCGACAGCGGCGGAUUUUGGCGCUUUGGCCCAGACUCUCUCCCCGAAGCGCCCGGGAUUCCGCCCUGGAGGCUACUCAGGGAUCUGUCUUCCUCUGCGGCAGGAGGGGGCGCAAGGGGAUUUCUGCCACUGAGGCUGCACUCACCACCCUGGGUAAGCCUCUCCCCACCGCUCCCCUGUGGACCUCAAAAAUCACAUAUUGGGAAAAUACCGACCUGUCGGCCGCAGACUCAACUUUAAGAGGUUCUGGUCUCUAGAUUUAUUCAGACCUCGGUUUUUGAGUAUCUACUUUUCGUCAGGCGCUAUUCUAGGCGCUUGGGUGAAAUCCAAACAGGCACAAAUCAUGGCCGUCGAAUAAUUUACGUUCAGUUGUAAGAUAUGGCCAAUAAAAGUUACUGAAGUCAACUACAGGGGUGUCCGAAAAUAAAGGAUGAUUAAGAGAAAAGCAAAGCACAGAAGAUGAAAGGAGCAGGGGCAAUUUUACGUUAUUAUUAUCGGUGUGAGAUUUCCCGAGGGGCGCCCUGCGAGGUGAGACCUGAAGCAGAUGAAGGAGGGAGCCCUGGGUUACUGGGAGAUAGGGUGUUCUAGAAUCACACUCUGCAGACGUGGAGCUCCGCCAGGGAAAGCACCCAGGCUGCGGCAGGAAUGGGGCUGGGUAGGUUUCAGAAGGACUUCCUGAGGCGGGUUGCGGAGAUCAGGGUUUGUGUAUCUCCUGACCACUUCCUACCAGUGCCUGGCACUUCAUGAAACCCUUAGGUUGCCAGCAGGGUGAGGGGCCUGGUGUGUGGAGGAAGACUGGGAGAGGAGGAGACUAAGUAGGGGCGUCCCAGCCCCUACUGUGUCUCUGUACUUUUUCUUUCCUGGACCCAGAGUUGGAAAUGUCAGUGGUACUGAUGUCUUCUGCAAAUCCUAGAAUCCCUGGAACUGGGAGAAAUCUUGACAUGGCAGGAUGUAAAAUUAAGGAAUUUCUAAGCCCUAGAGGCUCUAAGACAAUUUAAAGAAAGACUAAUUAUGAGAAAAAAAUUUUAAAUAUGGCAAUAAUCUUUUAUAUUGAUUACAUGCUAAAAUUAUA